Molecule: long non-coding RNA, 854 nt
Organism: Talpa occidentalis (Iberian mole)
Lineage: Eukaryota; Metazoa; Chordata; Mammalia; Eulipotyphla; Talpidae
Exons: 3
Source: RefSeq, a predicted model, not a curated record
CCCAGGGCAGCUCGUGGCCAGAGCCAAGGCUCCCACACGAGGGCCCAAUUUGGUGGUUGGGGCACACGUGCUGCUGCUCAUGGCGCUUCUGUUGGAGCCGCACCUGGUGUGGGGGGAGGGCAGAGAUGUGUCCCUCGGGCGCCUGCGCGGGGUGGUGAGCUAAUCCCAUGCACCUGGUACCUGCGAGGAAGCUGCUUCCUGCGCACUUAGCGCUUGGGGUCUGACGGAGACCUCUGCUUUUCUCCUGUUCCAGGUCUUGAGGGCUCUGAAGACUGGCACCUGCCAUCCCAAGCACCUCCAGAGGACUGGGCCUUCCUCUACCUGUGCUGGAGAUGCCAUUCCUUCUGUCUGGACCAGCCUCCAGGUACUGCUGCCACCACUACUGCACCUGCUCUCAAGCGGAGUCGUGCUGGAAGACAGCCCAGCUCAUCGUUCCUGAUUAGCCCACCUUCAAGGCCUAACAAAGGAUUUGAAGCUACCACAGAAACCUCGCACCAUCCCAGCGGAGUCACACGUCCCGGACACGGCCGGGAGCACCGCCGUGAGCUCUGUCCUCUGUGACUUCAGCCACAGGAGCCACCGCUCGGCAGCUCAGGACACGGGUCACCUGCUCAGGGAGGCACCGGGCCCCUGGGCCCUUCUCCAACCUCCGCCGUCAGGCCUCCGGGCCCACUCCAGGCGCACUGCCUUUUAGGCUGUUUCUUAUAGGCCGCGACGCUGCACAAAGGCAAGUGUAUGUUCUCGCGCCGGUGCCUCUCCUACAAGGGCCUCAGCAGCUUGGGCCCGCCUCGGGGGCAGCGACGUUUGUCCCCAAUACCCAGUUGUCACCACAGGUAAGUCAAGAUUAUAAUCAC